GAACCUACGGGAGGCAGCAGUGGGGGAUAUUGCACAAUGGGGGGAACCCUGAUGCAGCGACGCCGCGUGAGCGAAGAAGUACCUCGGUAUGUAAAGCCCUAUCAGCAGGGAAGAAAAUGACGGUACCUGACUAAGAAGCCCCGGCUAAAUACGUGCCAGCAGCCGCGGUAAUACGUAUGGGGCAAGCGUUAUCCGGAUUUACUGGGUGUAAAGGGAGCGUAGGCGGCCUGGCAAGCCUGAUGUGAAAUACCGGGGCCCAACCCCGGGGCUGCAUUGGGAACUGCCAGGCUGGAGUGCCGGAGAGG
Molecule: ribosomal RNA, 305 nt
Filed under: uncultured bacterium
Lineage: Bacteria
Description: bacterial SSU rRNA
Rfam family: Bacterial small subunit ribosomal RNA
Source: RNAcentral